RNAcentral lists this ribosomal RNA (253 nucleotides) under uncultured bacterium. RNAcentral's name for it is "partial 16S ribosomal RNA". It matches the Rfam family "Bacterial small subunit ribosomal RNA", at positions 524 to 776 of the family's 1533-position model. The record is from RNAcentral.
UACGUAGGGUGCAAGCGUUAAUCGGAAUUACUGGGCGUAAAGCGUGCGCGGGCGGUUUUGUAAGUCUGAUGUGAAAUCCCCGGGCUCAACCUGGGAAUUGCAUUGGAGACUGCAAGGCUAGAAUCUGGCAGAGGGGGGUAGAAUACCACGUGUAGCAGUGAAAUGCGUAGAGAUGUGGAGGAACACCGAUGGCGAAGGCAGCCCCCUGGGUCAAGAUUGACGCUCAUGCACGAAAGCGUGGGGAGCGAACAGG